UCCUAGCUCUAGUCUCGCACAGGGUGUCGAAAAUCAACUUGAACUUUUGUCGACGUUUUCUUCUUAUUUUUGUGGUUCUGUAUUUUUGUAUUUUGCCCGAAUCUACUUUACAGUAUGACAUAACAGAAAUCAUCAGUGUAUUUUAGAGCCAAGCAGCUGUUUUUAUUGGAUGACGUCACUUCACUUGUCAUUUGACAGACGUCAGGGCGUAUAUGUCACGACUAUCGUUGUGAGUCACGAAAACAAAUAAAAAGAGGCACAUGACAGUUCCUCUUAUCGCCUCAAAAAAGUAUCUUCCUCCGCUGGUAUAACCGUUGGUAUGUGAACACUUCAAUUUUUUGUGUUUCUUCUAUGUUAAAGGCCUCCAAAUAGCUUUUUCUCUGCUGAAUAUUCCGAACCACUCUCUUUCACCAUGUCAUACCCACAGAAUUUGGUUGUGCCUUAUCGAGGUUUAAUACCUUCAGGAAUCUUUCCUGGUCGCAUGAUACGAAUUCAAGGAAGAGUUCUGCCAUCUGCUCUGAGGUUUGCGGUUAAUCUUCAAUGUGGACCAAACACUGAACCACGAGAUGAUAUGGCUAUCCACUUUUCUCCUCAAUUCGAUUCUCAUAAAGUCAUCAGAAAUAGUCUACAGAAUUUGAUGUGGGGACCAGAGGAAAGUCUUGGCUUCUUCCCAUUCUCUCCAGGACAGCCAUUUGAACUCAUCAUACUGUGUGAAGCAACCCACUUCAAGUUUGCUAUAAAUGGGCAACACUACACUGAGUUUGAGCAUCGAAUGGCCUUUCAAAGAGUAACUCACAUAACUGUUGAUGGCGAUUUGGAACUGACAUCUGUUCGCUUUGAGGAUCCACCUCCAGAAAUUGUGCCCGGCGGUACAACUAUUGCUCCUUCAAGUGGUUAUAUUAUGCCAAUGGCCUAUGACCCGUCUCCUGCAAUUUAUCCCUCUGUUAACCCUCCUGCUUACACAGCAUAUGCUCCACAAUAUCAGUAUGAACCACAACAAACAUAUGUUGUUCAAAAUCAGUCAGGGGGUGGCUUAGGCAAGUAUGGUUCUGCAGCUGUGGGAGCCGCUGCCGGUAUGGCAUUAGGUGGCCUCGGUGGAUAUGCCAUCAGCAAUGCCCUCCAUCACAGUGGAUCUUCAUCUUGUUCUGACAGUGAUUAAGUUUUCAACAUUCAUUGAGGUCUCAUGCUGUGUCUUUUUAUCUAAACAUGAUAGUACAGUUUGAAGGCUGAAUCAUGCAUUAUACUAGUUUGACAACCUCUGCUACUGUUUAAAUGCAGGCUUCAUCUCAGUAAUAGACCAGCAAAUUUGUUCAAACAUUUCCAAGUAUUCUUCUUAUUCUUCACUAUACACCUUACUCACAAACGAGCAGCUACUAACUUAUUUGUUGUCUUUAAUUUCACUAAAUAUUUUACUAAUGCACUGCACUAUAUUUUACCUUCAGCUUCUUAUUAUACAGAAACUGUAAUAUGUUACUAUUUUCUGAGCAUUAAAAAAAAAGACAGAUAUCUAACAUAAGCCUUUUCCCCACUUUAACUCCGGUUCCCAAACCACGUCGAAUUAUUGCUAGCACAUGACUUACAGAUCGUCCAGAAAAUGCUUUUUGGUGAUUCAUUCGGCAAAUUACGGCAGCUCAGCGCCUGCGGGACUGAGGUAGGCCACUCCGCAGUACACGCAUGCACUGCAUGCACGCUAUUGCCUAUCUAUCAGGCACUAUGAUAGCUUACAUUUGCUGAAUUUAGCAGGUUUGCUACGACGAAUGAUAGACGUACUUUCUGGAUGAUCCCUUAGUAGUCGCCCACCUGCCUGACACCGGAAAACCCAGGUCUAAGUUGUAGGCAGUGCGCUGGGCAGGCCAACCCGCCAAGCACUUCUCUUCACAAUUCUUUCGGCAGCUCGCCCCCGCAAUAAACUAAGACAAUGGGGCCCGGGGUCCCCCCAAACCUAAGGGAUAGCAGGUUGUGAACCCCGGCCCAGAGCCGACACUUUAGCCACCUAUGACGCAGUGCCUCCAACAAUGGUAACCACUACGCCAUCGGAACUCCACGAGAGGGGCGUGGUGAAAUGACGGUUUUGAAGUCCAUUUGAAAUUUGGUGGCCUGAGAAAAAUUUCAGACAUACGGAGAGUCGAACCACCGACCUCCCGCGCUCUGAGCGGACGCGCUACCGACUGAGCCAUAGAGGCGCGAUACGAACUUGUGCUCCAGGGAACGAACCAUUCUACGCUGUCGCUUACUAGCGUCGCUCCUUGUCUCCCGUAAUACAGGACCGACUUUGAACGCGCAGUGGCGAAGACGGGCGGGUGGCCGAGCGCGCUAAAUCGUGCUCGUGUCAAACUGUUCGCCCGAGAGUCGACUCCCGGCUAGGGCAGAUAUAUAUUUUAUCUUCUUCAGUUCUGUGGCAGCUGAGGUUGCUCAAUUGUGACCAGUCUGAAACUGUCUGGAGUUCGACUCCCGGCCAGCCCAUAAUAGUUUAUUAUCCUGAUCAUUUCACUAUUGUCACUUGGCACUUCCCUGGCCCGCCUGCUGGAGCCACACAACAAUGCGCGGGACGGGAAGCAUCCCCAAAGGAUCACAUCCUGGACAAGCGAGGAGGGAUUGCCUACCCCAGGAAAGAAUCACAUCCCGUGACCACGAUAUGUCGGUGAGUAUGUCGUAAUUAUUGCUCUCCUCCUUUGCCGUGCCGCGUCCCUACCCCUCUCCUCCCCCCCACCCCCACCGCGCAUUUCCCGCGCCUUUAUGGAAACGUAAACAAACAGUGAAUAUCGGUGCCACGAUCAGUGUUUCUGCCAAAUACCGAUAAAACCUUCUCAUAUAAUUAUUGAUCAUAGGAUUUUAACUAGAAUUUUAGAGUGGACAUCGCCGCUUUUCGUUAUUAAUCGCAAGG
Molecule: RNA transcript, 2884 nt
Organism: Frankliniella occidentalis (western flower thrips)
Lineage: Eukaryota; Metazoa; Arthropoda; Insecta; Thysanoptera; Thripidae
Gene name: galectin-7
Exons: 8
Source: RefSeq, a predicted model, not a curated record